This 1046-nucleotide ribosomal RNA is filed under the name Shewanella morhuae. Its description in RNAcentral is "bacterial LSU rRNA". It matches the Rfam family "Bacterial large subunit ribosomal RNA", at positions 155 to 1249 of the family's 2925-position model. Lineage: Bacteria; Pseudomonadati; Pseudomonadota; Gammaproteobacteria; Alteromonadales; Shewanellaceae. The record is from RNAcentral.
CACAUGAAUACAUAGUGUGUAGAGGCGAACGAGGGGAACUGAAACAUCUAAGUACCCUUAGGAAAAGAAAUCAACCGAGAUUCCCCUAGUAGCGGCGAGCGAACGGGGAUUAGCCCUUAAGUCUAUGGGGUGUUAGUGGAAUGAGUUGGAAAGCUCAGCGGCACAGGGUGAUAGCCCCGUACAUGAAAACUAACCAUAGAUGAAAACGAGUAAGGCGGGACACGUGACAUCCUGUUUGAAUAUGGGGGGACCAUCCUCCAAGGCUAAAUACUCCUGACUGACCGAUAGUGAACCAGUACCGUGAGGGAAAGGCGAAAAGAACCCCUGUGAGGGGAGUGAAAUAGAACCUGAAACCGUAUACGUACAAGCAGUGGGAGCGGUUCUUGAGACCGUGACUGCGUACCUUUUGUAUAAUGGGUCAGCGACUUACAUUUUGUAGCGAGGUUAAGCGAAUAGCGGAGCCGUAGGGAAACCGAGUGUUAACUGCGCGUUUAGUUGCAAGGUGUAGACCCGAAACCGAGUGAUCUAGCCAUGGGCAGGUUGAAGGUUGAGUAACAUCAACUGGAGGACCGAACCGACUAAUGUUGAAAAAUUAGCGGAUGACUUGUGGCUGGGGGUGAAAGGCCAAUCAAACUCGGAGAUAUCUGGUUCUCCUCGAAAGCUAUUUAGGUAGCGCCUCGAGCGAAUACCACUGGGGGUAGAGCACUGUUAAGGCUAGGGGGUCAUCCCGACUUACCAACCCUUUGCAAACUCCGAAUACCAGUGAGUACUACUCGGGAGACAGACGGCGGGUGCUAACGUCCGUCGUCAAAAGGGAAACAACCCAGACCGUCAGCUAAGGUCCCAAAGUACUAGCUAAGUGGGAAACGAUGUGGGAAGGCUUAGACAGCUAGGAUGUUGGCUUAGAAGCAGCCAUCAUUUAAAGAAAGCGUAAUAGCUCACUAGUCGAGUCGGCCUGCGCGGAAGAUGUAACGGGGCUAAGCUAGUCACCGAAGCUACGGGUGCGGUCCAUUAGGACUGCGCGGUAGAGGAGCGUUCUGUAAGCC